ACUGUGACCCCGCGGCAACACCAGUGGUAUAUUUAGGAUUCGUCUUGGCGUGCGGAGUCACGGUGGAUGAUAGGAUUUAAAUGUGUACAGCGGUAAUAAAUAGACGAGACGUAUUUAAUUGCGCAAUAUAAACGAUGUAUACUAAAACGUAACGAUUAAUAAUAUACAUGCAUUUAUAACCCUUCUCUAGUUGGAGGAAUAGUUAGUGCAGUGUUUCUCAACCAUCGUGUCGAAAGAUAUAGGUGGGUGAUUUAGACGACGAUGAUCCAAGAUCUCUAUUGUGAAUAAAAUAACAAAUGGAAGUUAACGAUUUAACGAUCAAGAGGUAAGAGGAAAAAAGCAGGUAAUGUUGGAGUCAAUCUUCGAAGACAUAUUGAACGCAUAGUGUCGACUUCUACCGAAAAAUAUACAUUUAUUUGAAAAUUUAAAAGCUUACAAAAAGCUUAUUUUCUACGUCAUAUAGAACCGAAACAAAUGGAGUACGGCUUUGUAAGUAGGUAGCAGAAAAGAUGUGAAACAAAUACUAGGAUCUCAGACACAUUUGAUGUAAUGAUAAUAUGUGUAUAAGAUAUUCAAC
Long non-coding RNA from Aphis gossypii (cotton aphid), 577 nucleotides. RefSeq lists it as uncharacterized. The transcript has 4 exons. NCBI's taxonomy places the organism in Eukaryota, Metazoa, Arthropoda, Insecta, Hemiptera, Aphididae. The record is from RefSeq and is a predicted model, not a curated record.